GGGAUGAACGCUGGCGGUAUGCGUAACACAUGCAAGUCGAACGAAGUUUUUCGGAACUUAGUGGCGGACGGGUGAGUAACGCGUGAGAAUCUGCCUUAAGGAUUGGGACAACAGUGGGAAACCGCUGCUAAUACCAAAUAUGCCUUUUAGUGAAACGGGUAAAACCGCCUUAAGAUGAGCUCGCGUCUGAUUAGCUAGUAGGUGUGGUAAGAGCGCACCUAGGCGACGAUCAGUAGCUGGUCUGAGAGGACGACCAGCCACACUGGGACUGAGACACGGCCCAGACUCCUACGGGAGGCAGCAGUGAGGAAUUUUCCGCAAUGGGCGAAAGCCUGACGGAGCAAUACCGCGUGAGGGAGGAAGGUUCUUGGAUUGUAAACCUCUUUUCUCAGAGAAGAAUAAUGACGGUAUCUGAGGAAUAAGCAUCGGCUAACUCCGUGCCAGCAGCCGCGGUAAUACGGAGGAUGCAAGCGUUAUCCGGAAUGAUUGGGCGCAAAGGGUCUGUAGGUGGUUGUUCAAGUCUGCUGUUAAAGCGUCUGGCUUAACCAGAUAAAGGCGGUGGAAACUGAACGACUAGAGUGCGGUAGGGGUAGAGGGAAUUCC
RNAcentral lists this ribosomal RNA (603 nucleotides) under uncultured bacterium. RNAcentral's name for it is "bacterial SSU rRNA". It matches the Rfam family "Bacterial small subunit ribosomal RNA", at positions 26 to 670 of the family's 1533-position model. The record is from RNAcentral.